GACUCACAGGUUGUGCCAAGCCAAAAAUUCUGCGUGCCAAACUGCUCAUUGUGCCAUGAGCUGACUCAUGGGUCGACUCAUGGAUUUCAAACAUGCAUAACUUCCAAAAUAUAAGUCCAAAAAUAAUGAAAUUUUCGCCAAUAGAUCACAAAUCUUUUGUUCUAUCAUUUAAUACUUUCAAUUCAGGGUUUUGGUAAGAUUACAAUUUUGCCC
RNAcentral lists this long non-coding RNA (213 nucleotides) under Elaeis guineensis (African oil palm). Its description in RNAcentral is "long non-coding RNA (EGUI_LNC040848)". The record is from RNAcentral. Lineage: Eukaryota; Viridiplantae; Streptophyta; Magnoliopsida; Arecales; Arecaceae.